CUAAUCUGCUGUUUGUGUCUUUCUCUUCUCCUUUCCUUUAUCUCUGCAGAAACGAAAUCCCUAAAUCGCGAAGCACCCAAGCACCGACGCCGCUCUGCCGCUCUCGUCAGUCGUCACCGCCCUCGCGCUCGCACCACCGCCGCCAUUCCGCCGGUCAUCUGAAGCUUUGCUGAGCCGCUGACCCCGCCGAGCUCCACUGGUUUUGCCCGCGAAGUCGCUGAGCCCCGCCGAGCUCGCACCUGAGCAGUGACGCCGCCUCCGUUCGAUCGCCUCAUCCCACCUGCUGCUGUUGCCUCGCCGACGCCCUUGAUCGACAAAUCUCCGUUCGAUCGCCCCUCGCCGCGAAGUCGCUGACCCCCGCAAAUCUCGCGUUCGCAAAUCUCCCCUGCUGCUGAUCUACCGACGCCCGAACGACGCCCCCCCUGCUCUGCUCGCUGACACCAGCUGAAGCCGCGUCCCACCGAGCCCCUUGCUGCAAUUUGGGAGUGCUUCUGUUCUGUUUUCUGGGAUCCAAGCCAUUCUGAAUCUCUGAUUGUGCUGUCCAUCAGGUAACAUUAGUCAUUUUGUAUUAUUUUUUCACACUAGCAUUAUUUCUGUCCUUAAAUCUGCAUCCAACUGUUGCUGUCUUCCUUGAUCUUGUCUGCAUUCACAACACACUUUUAAGCAUUUCAUCAGCAUCAAUAGAGUUUACGGCAGGAAGAGCGUCCUGCUUAUCAAGCUUCUUCAUGACAGAAUUGGCAGAGUUAAUAUCACUAGAGUUAAGCUCAGUGAAACGAGGGAGAGAAAACACUAGUGGGAUUAGUUAGGGAUAGGACGAGUCUCUUUGCUAAUGAUGAUGAUGAUGAUGAAUUUCAUCUGCCGUUCGAUUGAGGUAAUGGACUGUUGCUGCAUCAACAGUUUUCUCAACCAUUGCCCACCAAACUCCCAACCAUUUUCGGUGAAUGCACAGGAUGUCCCUGACCAUUACUAGCAACCUCAAUCAUGUAGAACUGUCGUAAUCAGAGCUCCACAAGGACCCCCACUUUUAUGCUCUCCUUGAGGAACACUGAUGAUAAACGACAGACUUGCUUUACAAACGUAUCUAUUCCAAGUCCCACAUCAUUUGAGAAUCAAUUCAAUGGAUAGGCUUCACAA
Molecule: long non-coding RNA, 1134 nt
Organism: Eucalyptus grandis
Lineage: Eukaryota; Viridiplantae; Streptophyta; Magnoliopsida; Myrtales; Myrtaceae
Exons: 2
Source: RefSeq, a predicted model, not a curated record